Molecule: ribosomal RNA, 607 nt
Filed under: Anodonthyla hutchisoni
Lineage: Eukaryota; Metazoa; Chordata; Amphibia; Anura; Microhylidae
Description: partial 16S ribosomal RNA
Rfam family: Bacterial large subunit ribosomal RNA (bases 1-405)
Source: RNAcentral
UUUGACCCCCCGAAACUAGGCGAGCUACUUUUAAACAGCUCAUGAGCCAACCCGUCCCCGUAGCAAAGGGGUGGGAAGAUUUAAAAGUAGAGGCGACACACCUACCGAGCCCAGAGAUAGCUGGUUAUUUAGAAAGAGGAUUUAAGUCCAUCUUUAAGUUUUUUCAGUGCACUCAAACCCACCACAAACUUAAAAGUCAUUCAAAUAGGGUACAGCCUAUUUGAACAAGGAAACAGCCUACAAUCUAGGGUAACACCCACUUCAAGUGAUCAGGUAGGCCUAAGAGCAGCCAACCUUCAAAAAGCGUCUAAGCUUCACCACGGGUCGUCCACAAUACCACCAUUUACCCCCAACCCUAAACCACUACUAAAUGACUCUAUACCUGUAUAGAGAACAUUCUGCUAGAACUAGUAACAAGAAGAAGAACUUCUCCUAAAUAGAAACAUAAGCCACAGUGAACAACUCACUGGCACUUACCGCCGCUAAACCUACAGUAACAACACCACAAGAGAACCUUACUCCGCUCAGCGUUAACCUUACACAAGACUAUUACAGGAAAGAUUAAAAGGGGGGGAAGGAACUCGGCAAAUAUCAGCUCCGCCUGUAA